This 421-nucleotide long non-coding RNA is filed under the name Prunus persica (peach). RNAcentral describes it as "long non-coding RNA (PPER_LNC007447)". Lineage: Eukaryota; Viridiplantae; Streptophyta; Magnoliopsida; Rosales; Rosaceae. The record is from RNAcentral.
CAUAUCUGACGUGGGGUCCAUUUCCUUCUGGUAAAUAUUGUUACUUGCUUGUUUUCAUGGUCUCUCUUUGCUCUCCCAUUUCGUUUUACAGCUCUCAAGCUCAACCAACGCCCUGCCGUUCACAGAGCAUCUUUGGGGCCCUUUACAUAUAUAUCUGUCUAUCCGUACCUAAAACGGUCAUAUAUAUGGAAGGAUGAUAAUCUGAGUGGACGGGAAGACGUGACACCAUGAAUGCUAAGUAUUCAUGUCCCUUGAGGAUCUGGCAACUCAAAAGGUAUUUACAGCAUUUGGGAAGGAAAAAAAAAUUACAGCAGAAAAUGAGUUGUAUAAAUAUUCUACUUAAUUCUGCAACAUAUCUGUCAACGGAAUCUAGUUUAGUGAAAAAUAAUCUAACUUGCAUAUUAGUAGUCUCUUAUCAAAC